Long non-coding RNA from Drosophila gunungcola (fruit fly), 691 nucleotides. RefSeq lists it as uncharacterized. The transcript is spliced from 3 exons. The record is from RefSeq and is a predicted model, not a curated record. Lineage: Eukaryota; Metazoa; Arthropoda; Insecta; Diptera; Drosophilidae.
UUACACUUUGAUUCAAAACUAACAAAUACCGAAGGGCACUUGCCCAAGGCAAUUUUUUUCUUAUUUGUGCAUGGGAAUAAGGAAGUUCCACUUGGGAUCGUUUGAAGUGGAAAUACUUGGCCUCCAUAUGGCGUGGCAUUUAGUGCACCCCGUGAAGUGCUAACGGGCCACUUAACUCUAAUGGGCAUUCUCCUGGCGGAAACAAAACAACAACAAACCAUUAACAAGGCGGCAAAUGAUCUGACGAAGGGACGUGCACUCUAGAUGUAUAAUAUAGCGGCAUCUCCAGCGAAGCAACAGGCAAUCUGAAUAAACAACUUGGAUUUGGAGCACAGGUGUUUGGGAAAUGCCUUUCUUGUGGCUGCCGACGGGCCGCAGCAUAAAUCAUGUCUAUCUUCUGGCACCACGGGCUCCAAUCAUCUCCGCAGGGGAACGCGCCAUGUCUAGGAAUUCCGGCAGCUUGGCAGGUGAUUUGUUCGGAUUCCUAUCUCCACAUGGAAAAUCCACAUGCCGCAAAACAAGCCAAAUUGAGGUUGGAUUUGAAUAAAACUUUACUUUUUUUGGUAAAUAAUUUUGCCUUUUUGGUUAAGAGAUCUAUUGUUGUGGUUAAUAAGGCUAAAAAAAUGUAACUAAGAAAAUGUAAAUCAUAAAUAUAUAGUUAACUAUUAUAUUUUUACGUUAAAAAAAUAAA